Zea mays is the source of this 1373-nucleotide RNA transcript. RefSeq lists it as uncharacterized. The transcript has a single exon. Lineage: Eukaryota; Viridiplantae; Streptophyta; Magnoliopsida; Poales; Poaceae. The record is from RefSeq and is marked validated.
UGUUUGCAAAAUUCUCCUCAGCGCCGGCCCCAGCUUGGGCCCUCCCGUGGCGUCCGCUCGACCCUGCCCUUCUCUAGUCGUGUUCUCCGUGUGCACGCGCGCAGCUCCCUCACGGUGCUACCUCUGCCCUCUUCCCAUGGCCGAGCGCGCCUGGAUCUCCUCCGAGCUCGGCAUGGAUGUGCUGUGACUUCCCCAGUACCGGCCGUGGCAAGCUCUGGUGACCCCCUUCCCCAUGGCGCGCCCUUCCUGGCUCGCCGGCGAUGCUCCUGCUCCAGCUCACCAUGGCGCCCCUGCCCUCAACGCCGAGCUCGCCCUGUCGCGUGUUCCUCCAGCUCGGACCGCGCCCCUCCUCUCUGCUCGGAUCCGCCGUCGCGUCCUGCUCCCUGGUGGUCGAGCUCGCCCAGUUCGCCUCCUGUCCUCAACCAUGGAUGUCGGUCGCCCAUGGAUUGUUCACAAACUCCGUCGCUCGAUGUCGCGUCUCCUGCACCAGCGUUCCUGUUCCCUGUUCUCGGCGUCCUAACCAUGGCGGCUGAGAUCUCUCUUUCUCUGGUGCCGUGUGUGCUCACCCUCGCCCAUGCCGCGCCCCUGCGCUCGUCGCGGCGCUCCAGCUCGCCCCUGCACGCUCCUCUCCUCUAGAUCCCUCCCUCCACGCCGGACGUCGUCUGUUUCCUGGUGGCUGAGCAUAGCCCUUGCGCUCGCGCCUUCUCUGUUUAAUUUGUAGAACACCUAGGUCUGUCCAUGGUCACUCCCUUCGUCGUUGGUGUUCGGCUCCCUAUUUCAGUUUGUCGUGCCGCGCCGUCAUCGUUUCUGUCACGAGCUUGAUCCCCGUUGUCAUCGCUUCGCCGUGUUCGCCGGUAGCCGCCCCGUCGUGCUCGUCUCUGGUGCUCGCUUCGGCCGCGGACGCUGUCGAGCCCAUCGUUUUCCCUGUCCAGUGCUCGUGCGGCUUUCUGCUCGCCAACGCGUCCUCUCGGCUCACUCGACCUUAAUCCCCAUCGCGUCGUCGACCUCGCCGAUUGUCGUCGCGUCGUGCGUGCAGCAGCCCCGGAUCUGUGUAGUCUCGGUCUUGUUGUCGAUAUCGCUCGCCGUGGCUCAGCUUGCUAGCUCGUCGUUGUUUCAUCGUCUCGUCUUGAUGCCAGUCCCUACGUGCUGUCUCCGACUCGUGUUCGCGUCGACAAAAGAAUGUCAAGAAGAUGUGGAGAAGCAAGCCCUGGUCGAUGCCCCAAGUGCUCGGCAAAAGGCCGAAACAAGGAUCAUCGUCGUUUGGAUGGAUUGCUAGUCGAAAUGGUAAUCAUAUUUUGAAUCUCUAUUCUAGCUAAUUAAUUUGAUAAAUGAAUUAAAGGGAUAUUUAUCGGGAUGAUUAUUCUAUUUGUAGC